RNAcentral lists this long non-coding RNA (1067 nucleotides) under Sus scrofa (pig). Its description in RNAcentral is "lncRNA (ENSSSCG00065053308.1)". Lineage: Eukaryota; Metazoa; Chordata; Mammalia; Artiodactyla; Suidae. The record is from RNAcentral.
AUGAAAAAUGAAAACAUCACGGACACUUACAAGAGUAACAUAUGUGCAAGUAGAGCACAUUAUGCAUUUUGCUUCGGGAUGGGAAGAGACAUCAUAUCGCAUAGUAGAAUUUAUGCUAGGAGUAUUACUGGCCCCUUUCAAAAACUGCCUGAAUUAGUGCCUGCGCUAGUCGUCCUGGAAUCCACUCAAAGGCUGAAUGGAUCAGGGCCAGCCAGAGGAUCCAGUGAAAAACUGUGCUCUAUUCCAAGUUUAGGUGCAAAAGAGACAUCAUUGAAAGAUCUGCCAAAAAUUUCUGGGCACCAAGCUUCGGGCAGCAGAGUGAAGCAGCUACAGGGGAGAGAAGAAGAACCCAAACUCUGUCGUGAUAAAUCGCAAUGAGGUCGGUGUUGGAAUGAAGGGAGGAAAGGGAGAGGCGGAGGGCCACUGGGACUGUUUACCAAGAGCCUCUUCGCAGACGAAGGGAGGCAAGAAGUGCCGAGAACCUCGAUGCCUGUGGACCGCGAGUCAUUUUGGAGACGGGAGAGGCCUGCUCGGCUCCCGGAAGCCUGCUCACGCGGGUGAGUACUUGACAUGAGGUUCACCUCGUGCUCCCUGUUCUUCAUUAGAUCGUUUUGUUUCAGAUCUAAUCCUAGAUUUUAUUAACACUCUGGGAGACAUAACUGUUGUUUUAUAUUAUCAUUUAUGUCAUCAAGAACAGAGCAAUUCCUUUUUAUUUUUACAUUAUGGUUUAAAAAGUCUAGUUACAAUUACUGAGCACUUCUAAAUGCUGGUAGCACAAGCUCCUUAGUUUUGUACCACUUAAUUUUAUGUCGCUCAUAAAUGUCCUCAUGACAAACAUUUGAGUACAUAUGAAUAUUCCCAAUUAGACGUGAGAAGAGAGGUUUGAAAUUGUGCAAAUGAUGCAGCUUUUCCAAAGUUCCGUCAGUGUCUGUAAGAGAGGUAAAGCUCCUUACAGAUCUGUCUUCAAAGCCUCCUCUUUCCCCCACCAUACAACACUGAACAUUCAUGGACGUGGAGAUUCCCUUUACGUAAAUAAAGCGUCUAAUCUUCACUUUUAAAAAACUUAC